CCUACGGGGGGCUGCAGUGGGGAAUAUUGCACAAUGGGCGCAAGCCUGAUGCAGCCAUGCCGCGUGUGUGAAGAAGGCCUUCGGGUUGUAAAGCACUUUCAGCGGGGAGGAAGGCGGUGAGGUUAAUAACCUCAUCGAUUGACGUUACCCGCAGAAGAAGCACCGGCUAACUCCGUGCCAGCAGCCGCGGUAAUACGGAGGGUGCAAGCGUUAAUCGGAAUUACUGGGCGUAAAGCGCACGCAGGCGGUCUGUCAAGUCGGAUGUGAAAUCCCCGGGCUCAACCUGGGAACUGCAUUCGAAACUGGCAGGCUAGAGUCUUGUAGAGGGUGGUAGAAUUCCAGGUGUAGCGGUGAAAUGCGUAGAGAUCUGGAGGAAUACCGGUGGCGAAGGCGGCCCCCUGGACAAAGACUGACGCUCAGGUGCGAGAGCGUGGGGAGCAAACAGGAUUAGAUACCCCGGUAGUC
Molecule: ribosomal RNA, 465 nt
Filed under: uncultured Klebsiella sp.
Lineage: Bacteria; Pseudomonadati; Pseudomonadota; Gammaproteobacteria; Enterobacterales; Enterobacteriaceae
Description: bacterial SSU rRNA
Rfam family: Bacterial small subunit ribosomal RNA
Source: RNAcentral